CCCUGCUCUGACAGCUCCGUCGGUGGAAGUAGGUCAGGUUCUCCAUCUGCAUUCAUGCUCCCACCCUCGGGUCUCCCCAGCCUGCUGCCCUGUGCAGUCACAGCCAUCAGUCAGCAAAGGUGCCCACUCUGCUCCCUGCUCCUCACCGAUGGGCAAGUCAGCAAAGAGGAGGCCAGGAUGAGGUGAGUGGUUGCUCACCAGUGAGAUGGCAGGACGCUCGGUUCCUGUUCAAGGCACGGAAGAUAGGAGAUGCUGCUGAUGUCCUUGUCAUAGACCUUAGGUUGAGAUGACACUCUUCAUCCACGCUUUCUCUCCAGUUUACUGACA
RNAcentral lists this long non-coding RNA (327 nucleotides) under Gallus gallus (chicken). RNAcentral's name for it is "long non-coding RNA NONGGAT002175". The record is from RNAcentral. Lineage: Eukaryota; Metazoa; Chordata; Aves; Galliformes; Phasianidae.